GAUGAACGCUGGCGGCGUGCCUAACACAUGCAAGUCGAGCGAUUCUCUUCGGAGAAGAGCGGCGGACGGGUGAGUAACGCGUGGGUAACCUGCCCUGUACACACGGAUAACAUACCGAAAGGUAUGCUAAUACGAGAUAAUAUGCUUUUAUCGCAUGGUAGAAGUAUCAAAGCUCCGGCGGUACAGGAUGGACCCGCGUCUGAUUAGCUAGUUGGUAAGGUAACGGCUUACCAAGGCGACGCUCAGUAGCCGACCUGAGAGGGUGAUCGGCCACAUUGGAACUGAGACACGGUCCAAACUCCUACGGGAGGCAGCAGUGGGGAAUAUUGCACAAUGGGCGAAAGCUUGAUGCAGCAACGCCGCGUGAGCGAUGAAGGCCUUCGGGUCGUAAAGCUCUGUCCUCAAGGGAGAUAAUGACGGUACUUGAGGAGGAAGCCCCGGCUAACUACGUGCCAGCCGCCGCGGUAA
This 468-nucleotide ribosomal RNA is filed under the name uncultured bacterium. Its description in RNAcentral is "partial 16S ribosomal RNA". It matches the Rfam family "Bacterial small subunit ribosomal RNA", at positions 28 to 523 of the family's 1533-position model. The record is from RNAcentral.